RNAcentral lists this ribosomal RNA (587 nucleotides) under Ischnura aurora. RNAcentral describes it as "partial large subunit ribosomal RNA". It matches the Rfam family "Eukaryotic large subunit ribosomal RNA", at positions 1410 to 1940 of the family's 3401-position model. The record is from RNAcentral. Lineage: Eukaryota; Metazoa; Arthropoda; Insecta; Odonata; Coenagrionidae.
UCUGGGCUCGAGCCUGCCUGGAGCCGCCGCCGGUGCAGAUCUUGGUGGUAGUAGCAAAUACUCCAGCGAGGCCCUGGAGGACUGAUGUGGAGAAGGGUUUCGUGUGAACAGCCGUUGCACACGAGUCAGUCGAUCCUAAGCCCUAGGAGAAAUCCGACGCCUACGGCGACGGGAUUUUGAAAAUUUUGAAAUCGACCCGUUGAUCGGGCGAAAGGGAAUCCGGUUCCUAUUCCGGAACCCGGCAGCGGAACCGCUGUUUGUCGGGCCCUCACAAGGGGUUCGUCAGGGUAACCUAAAAGGGCCCGGAGACGCCGUCGGGAGCCCCGGAAAGAGUUUUCUUUUCUGCAUGAGCGUUCGAGUUCCCUGGAAUCCUCUCGCAGGGAGAUAGGGUUUGGAACGCGAAGAGCACCGCAGUUGCGGCGGUGCCCGGGAAUUCCCGACGGACCUUGAAAAUCCGGGAGAGGGCCACGUGGAGGUGUCGCGCCGGCUCGUACCCAUAUCCGCAGCAGGUCUCCAAGGUGAAGAGCCUCUAGUCGAUAGAAUAAUGUAGGUAAGGGAAGUCGGCAAAUCGGAUCCGUAACUUCGGG